RNAcentral lists this ribosomal RNA (500 nucleotides) under uncultured Glomeromycotina. RNAcentral's name for it is "partial small subunit ribosomal RNA". It matches the Rfam family "Eukaryotic small subunit ribosomal RNA", at positions 591 to 1092 of the family's 1831-position model. Lineage: Eukaryota; Fungi; Glomeromycota. The record is from RNAcentral.
CCAAUAGCGUAUAUUAAAGUUGUUGCAGUUAAGAAGCUCGUAGUUGAAUUUCGGGGUUAGUAGGUUGGUCAUGCCUCUGGUAUGUACUGGUCUCACUGAUUCCUCCUUCCUGAUGAACCUUAAUGCCAUUUAUUUGGUGUUUUGGGGAAUUUGGACUGUUACUUUGAAAAAAUUAGAGUGUUUAAAGCAAGCUAACGCUUGAAUACAUUAGCAUGGAAUAAUGAAAUAGGACGUUCGAUCCUAUUUUGUUGGUUUCUAGGAUUGACGUAAUGAUUAAUAGGGAUAGUUGGGGGCAUUAGUAUUCAAUUGUCAGAGGUGAAAUUCUUGGAUUUAUUGAAGACUAACUACUGCGAAAGCAUUUGCCAAGGAUGUUUUCAUUAAUCAAGAACGAAAGUUAGGGGAUCGAAGACGAUCGGAUACCGUCGUAGUCUUAACCAUAAACUAUGCCGACUAGGGAUCGGAUGAUGUUAAUUUUUUAAUGACUCAUUCGGCGCCUUACG